This 1278-nucleotide ribosomal RNA is filed under the name Triticum aestivum (bread wheat). Its description in RNAcentral is "partial small subunit ribosomal RNA". The record is from RNAcentral. Lineage: Eukaryota; Viridiplantae; Streptophyta; Magnoliopsida; Poales; Poaceae.
AUGCAGGAUAAAAACAUGCCGCUGAACCUCAUACCUGCCGCUGGAAUGAAGUUCACCACGUACAACAAGGCAUGGGACUUUUACAACACUUAUGCAAGAUAUGCAGGGUUUGGCAUACGCAAGAGGGCAAAACACAAGACAAAUGCCUACAUUGUCUGCUCAAGAGAAGGGAUGCACAAGCAGACUGUGUCAGAUUAUGACCGGAAACGUGAGAAGACAUCGAAAAGGAUUGACUACAAGGCAAAAAUUAGAGUCAAAAAGAGGAAGGAUGGCAAAUUUGUGAUAGAAAUGGUUGAACUCCACCACAAUCACAAGAUGUUCGAAAGCCCCGGGAUGCUUUUGCACAUGUGAUCGCAUAAAAGAGACGAUCCUUUGAUUGACCAGUUAGUGAAAGACAUGCUGCUGGGCAACCACACACACGCUCAAAUGAUGUCAAUGUUGUCGCGUAUGUCCGGUGGUCUGCAGUACAUGGGACAUACUAGCCGCGACUGGGUAAACAAGAAACAGAAGUUUGCCAGAGAAGAGUCCCAAGAUGACGUCAAGAAACUUCUGGAUUUCUUCGAGAAGAUGCAGAAGAUAAACCCGGAUUUCUUCUAUGAUUAUGACAUUGAUGCAGAUAACCAUGUAAGAUAUGUCUUUUGGGCCAACGCAAGUAGCAAAGGAUCGUAUGAAGAUUUUGGAGACUGCGUUACAUUUGACAUGACAUAUGGAACUAAGAAAUUCCACAUGCCACUGGGAGUCUUCGUGGGAGUGAACCAUCAUCUACAGAGCACCAUAUUUUUUGUUGCCCUCGUGUGAGAUGAAACAAUACCGUCGUUCGUGUGGGUUUUCAAAACAUUUCUGAGGUGUAUGAACAACAAGCCGCCAAUCUGCAUGCUCACAGACCAGUGUUCUUUGAUGAAGGCAGCAUUAAAAACUAUCCUCCCAGACACACUACAUAAGUUGUGUCGGUGGUAUAUCAUGAAGAAGUACAAAGACCACCUUGCCUUGCUGUAUAAGGCGCACGAGAAACUAAAGGAUGACCUCAAUGCGGUGCUGAACCACCCACUAAUGCCAUUAGAAUUUGAACGGGCAUGGAAGGACCUCAUUCAGAAAUACAACUUGCGUAACGACGAAGUGAUGAAUUCGCUGUGGGAUGACAGACACGAGUGGAUCUCGGCUUACUACAAGGAAAUUUUCUAUGCUCGGAUGAUUUCCACGCAGAGAAGAGAGAGCAUGAACCGCAUAUUGAAGAAAAACUUUGUCAAAGAGAAGCAUGAUCUCCAUCUGUUUGCUUAG